Molecule: ribosomal RNA, 459 nt
Filed under: uncultured bacterium
Lineage: Bacteria
Description: partial 16S ribosomal RNA
Rfam family: Bacterial small subunit ribosomal RNA
Source: RNAcentral
CCUACGGGGGGCAGCAGUGAGGAAUAUUGGUCAAUGGCCGGAAGGCUGAACCAGCCAAGCCGCGUGAAGGACGAAGGUGCCAAGCAUUGUAAACUUCUUUUGUCAAGGGACAAAAUCAGGCUCGAGAGCCUGACCGAGGGUACUUGAAGAAAAAGCAUCGGCUAACUCCGUGCCCGCAGCCGCGGUAAUACGGAGGAUGCGAGCGUUAUCCGGAUUUAUUGGGUUUAAAGGGUGAGUGGGAGGGCUGUUAAGUCAGCGGGAAAAGCCCGGGGCUCAACCCCGGCGAGCCGUUGAAACUGGCUGUCUUGAGAUGUCGAGAGGUAUGCGGAAUGCGCAGUGUAGCGGUGAAAUGCUUAGAUAUUGCGCAGAACUCCGAUUGCGAAGGCAGCAUACCGGCGGCGAUCUGACGCUGAGGCACGAAAGCGUGGGUAUCGAACAGGAUUAGAUACCCGAGUAGUC